UGGGGAAUAUUGCACAAUGGACGGAAGUCUGAUGCAGCAACGCCGCGUGCGGGAUGACGGCCUUCGGGUUGUAAACCGCUUUUUCUCAUGACGAAGUUUUUUGACGGUAGUGGGGGAAGAAGCACCGGCUAACUACGUGCCAGCAGCCGCGGUGAUACGUAGGGUGCGAGCGUUGUCCGGAAUUAUUGGGCGUAAAGAGCUUGUAGGCGGUUUGUCGCGUCGAUAGUGCAAACUCAGUGCUUAACGCUGAGCCUGCUGUUGAUACGGGCAGACUAGAGGAAGGUAGGGGAGAAUGGAAUUCCCGGUGGAGCGGUGGAAUGCGCAGAUAUCGGGAGGAACACCGGUGGCGAAGGCGGUUCUCUGGGCAUUUCCUGACGCUGAGAAGCGAAAGCGUGGGGAGCGAACAGG
RNAcentral lists this ribosomal RNA (408 nucleotides) under Fusobacteriota bacterium. RNAcentral's name for it is "Fusobacteria bacterium partial 16S ribosomal RNA". It matches the Rfam family "Bacterial small subunit ribosomal RNA", at positions 355 to 776 of the family's 1533-position model. Lineage: Bacteria; Fusobacteriati; Fusobacteriota. The record is from RNAcentral.